GGUGUACUCUCCCAUUAUUUAUUAUUGUUUACCUUUUUUACUAUAGCAUUGUGUAAACCCCACUUGGACUGACUGGCUGGUGUGGCUCUCCUUUGGGAUGCUUGCUAGAUUCGGCACAUAUACUGUGGAAUCCUUUUUCACAGUUUGAUUUAAUGGCAUACAGCUGAUUUUAAUUGUGAUUGGAUGUUCUUGGACCUGGACGGCUUGUUGCACUGCCCUUGAUAAAGCUCAAUCGAGCGAAACAUGUCGGGCCUCCUCCAACAGGUUCCUCUGCUACUGUUUUAGUCGCUAACAUCACCUAUGAGACCAUCCAUGUCUUGUUUGAUAUUCUGUGUUAUUUAAAAACCAAUUUAUAUGUCUGAAUAAAUUAUUAUUUUUAUAUUUA
Rana temporaria (common frog) is the source of this 385-nucleotide long non-coding RNA. RefSeq lists it as uncharacterized. NCBI's taxonomy places the organism in Eukaryota, Metazoa, Chordata, Amphibia, Anura, Ranidae. The record is from RefSeq and is a predicted model, not a curated record. The transcript has 2 exons.